UACGGAGGGGGCGAGCGUUAUUCACCUUAACUGGGCGUAAAGGGUAUGUAGGUUGUUUUUUUACAUUUGAAACAAGUAAUCUUAGCUUAACUUUUGAAGUUGUUUUCAAAAUAUGUUAAAACUAGAGGAUAUAUGAAGUAAGUUACAUUUUUAAUGUAAAGGUGAAAUUUUAAAGAUAUUAAAGAGAUAUCCGUAUGGCGAAAGCUACUUACUAGUAUUUACCUGACACUGAGGUACAAAAGCAUGGGGAUCAAACAGG
This 259-nucleotide ribosomal RNA is filed under the name uncultured bacterium. RNAcentral's name for it is "partial 16S ribosomal RNA". It matches the Rfam family "Bacterial small subunit ribosomal RNA", at positions 524 to 776 of the family's 1533-position model. The record is from RNAcentral.